AGGCAGAUCACCGUGCAACUUGGUGAAGUCAUGUGUCUUUCCAGAUGCCCAAAUCUGUACCCCUCAAAAAAACUUUAUUAAAUGCCAUGAUAGACAAGAUGAGCCUUAAGAGGAGAUUUGGGAAGAUGCUGUUUCAUAAGUCUUUGCUUUGCCAGAUUAUCUGUGGUUGGGGUGUCUGCCAACGUGAUGCCUUGCUGGUCUGGUUUGAGUUUGAAGUCUCUCACAGACCGUCCAGAAGGUCUGGAGUCCAUCUUAGCUUUCAUUGAUGCUGUCAUCAUAUUUUAAGUGCAUGAGCCAGAAUGGAUGGGUGGUGGUGGCCAUAAGAAGACUGUCAACUAAACUAGGGUGACCAUACGUGCCAUUCUUCCCGGACCCGUCCUGUCCAGUCUUUUGGAACUCGUAUUUGUCGACCGCAUACGUCACAGAGGAUUAUUAUUAUUAUUACAGAAAAGCAACCGUUACAUUUAAAGGUAAGAAUGAAACUACGAUUGUAUAUCUUAUGUUUUUAACUGAAUGGCGUAUGCGGUCAACAAAUACGACUUCCGGAAGACGCACCGAAAUCCUGGACCGGAUGCGUCCGGGAAGAAUGGCACGUAUGGUCAUCCUAACUAAACCAACAACAAAAUUCAUAUUUGCAGUUAUAAAUAAAAUGACUUUUAAACCUGAUUUUGUUUUCUUAUUUUAUGAUUUCAUUCUAUAUUUGGAAUAUUCCAUUUUUGCACUACUAACUGGAAACUGUUUGAAAGAAUGUGUUUUUAUUAAAAGACAAAUUUCAAAGGUGAAUCAUGCCGGCUGGGAUAUCAAAAUAGCAUUAAAAUGACAGCAACAUCAUAACAUCCUGAUGUCAAAUAGAUGUAGAAUUGACAUCAAAAUGA
This is a long non-coding RNA of Paramisgurnus dabryanus, 875 nucleotides long. RefSeq lists it as uncharacterized. Lineage: Eukaryota; Metazoa; Chordata; Actinopteri; Cypriniformes; Cobitidae. The record is from RefSeq and is a predicted model, not a curated record.